This 468-nucleotide ribosomal RNA is filed under the name uncultured bacterium. RNAcentral describes it as "partial 16S ribosomal RNA". It matches the Rfam family "Bacterial small subunit ribosomal RNA", at positions 28 to 507 of the family's 1533-position model. The record is from RNAcentral.
GACGAACGCUGGCGGCGUGCUUAACACAUGCAAGUCGAACGGAAAGGCCCUGCUUUUGUGGGGUGCUCGAGUGGCGAACGGGUGAGUAACACGUGAGUAACCUGCCCUUGACUUUGGGAUAACUUCAGGAAACUGGGGCUAAUACCGGAUAGGAGCUCCUGCUGCAUGGUGGGGGUUGGAAAGUUUCGGCGGUUGGGGAUGGACUCGCGGCUUAUCAGCUUGUUGGUGGGGUAGUGGCUUACCAAGGCUUUGACGGGUAGCCGGCCUGAGAGGGUGACCGGCGACAAUGGGACUGAGAGACGGCCCAGACUGCUACGGGAGGCAGCAGGGGGGAAUAUUGCACAAUGGGCGGAAGCCUGAUGCAGCAACGCCGCGUGCGGGAUGACGGCCUUCGGGUUGUAAACCGCUUUCGCCUGUGACGAAGCGUGAGUGACGGUAAUGGGUAAAGAAGCACCGGCUAACUACGUG